CAGUAGCCGCGGGAAUACAGAGGGUGCGAGCGUUAAUCGGAUUUACUGGGCGUAAAGCGUGCGUAGGCGGCUUCUUAAGUCGGAUGUGAAAUCCCUGAGCUUAACUUAGGAAUUGCAUUCGAUACUGGGAAGCUAGAGUAUGGGAGAGGAUGGUAGAAUUCCAGGUGUAGCGGUGAAAUGCGUAGAGAUCUGGAGGAAUACCGAUGGCGAAGGCAGCCAUCUGGCCUAAUACUGACGCUGAGGUACGAAAGCAUGGGGAGCAAACAGGAUUAGAUACCCGGGUAGUCCCUGUCUCUUAUCC
Molecule: ribosomal RNA, 301 nt
Filed under: uncultured bacterium
Lineage: Bacteria
Description: partial 16S ribosomal RNA
Rfam family: Bacterial small subunit ribosomal RNA
Source: RNAcentral